UUUUUGCGGUUUUGUUGGUGUAAUUAAAUAUAAAAAGGCUUAUAAAAAGUUCAUUUAACGUUUCAAAUAGUUUUGUUAAAACCAAUUGAAGCUCUAUAAUGCGGUGUAUAAUUGAUGGCUGUAAUAGUGAUCUGACGAUUCCUUUAUCCGAAGGAGGGACGUCCAGUCAUAGAUUCCCUCAAGAUAAAAUUAGAUUGAAGCUGUGGCUGAGCUCCAUACAAAUGUUCACUGGAAAAACACUUUCUGAGGUGGAUAUUAUUAGCAGUACAAGAAUAUGUGGCAAACAUUUUCGGGAGGAGCUCAUAGAGCAUUCCUAUGAUCAAAGAGCUUUUCUAAAAAAGACAGCUAUUCCCAUAAUAUUUCCUAAAACAGUUUUGACUGAAACAGAACAGCUCGAGUUUUUAACCGAUUUUCUGGAGGAUUCAACACAACAAGAACAAUCAUUAUCAUCGGAAAGGUACUUUGAACAGGGCUAUAGAAGCAAACCUCGAAGCAAACAAUAAUUAUAAAAUGUUUCAGACGAAAAAUUGUAAAUGUUAAAGAUAUAGAGAAAAUACACAAUUUGUCAGCGAAGGAAGCAUUGGUUGCUGUGCCAAUCUUGAAAAAAGCUCGAAUGGCGCAAAAAACUAAAUACAGAGCCAAAUCGAAAGUUUUACAACAAAAAUGUCGCCGAUUAAAGUCUCGUGUCCAAAGUUUAGAACAAUUGUUAAUUGCA
Long non-coding RNA from Culex quinquefasciatus (southern house mosquito), 715 nucleotides. RefSeq lists it as uncharacterized. NCBI's taxonomy places the organism in Eukaryota, Metazoa, Arthropoda, Insecta, Diptera, Culicidae. The record is from RefSeq and is a predicted model, not a curated record. The transcript has 3 exons.